AAAUUGAAGAGUUUGAUCAUGGCUCAGAUUGAACGCUGGCGGCAGGCCUAACACAUGCAAGUCGAACGGUAACAGGAAGCAGCUUGCUGCUUCGCUGACGAGUGGCGGACGGGUGAGUAAUGUCUGGGAAACUGCCUGAUGGAGGGGGAUAACUACUGGAAACGGUGGCUAAUACCGCAUAACGUCGCAAGACCAAAGAGGGGGACCUUCGGGCCUCUUGCCAUCAGAUGUGCCCAGAUGGGAUUAGCUAGUUGGUGAGGUAACGGCUCACCAAGGCGACGAUC
Molecule: ribosomal RNA, 284 nt
Filed under: Salmonella enterica
Lineage: Bacteria; Pseudomonadati; Pseudomonadota; Gammaproteobacteria; Enterobacterales; Enterobacteriaceae
Also listed under: 2 other names
Description: partial 16S ribosomal RNA
Rfam family: Bacterial small subunit ribosomal RNA
Source: RNAcentral